This 253-nucleotide ribosomal RNA is filed under the name uncultured bacterium. RNAcentral describes it as "partial 16S ribosomal RNA". It matches the Rfam family "Bacterial small subunit ribosomal RNA", at positions 524 to 776 of the family's 1533-position model. The record is from RNAcentral.
UACGUAGGGCGCAAGCGUUGUCCGGAAUUAUUGGGCGUAAAGAGCUCGUAGGCGGUUUGUCACGUCGGCUGUGAAAACCCGAGGCUCAACCUCGGGCCUGCAGUCGAUACGGGCAGACUAGAGUGCGGUAGGGGAGACUGGAAUUCCUGGUGUAGCGGUGAAAUGCGCAGAUAUCAGGAGGAACACCGGUGGCGAAGGCGGGUCUCUGGGCCGUAACUGACGCUGAGGAGCGAAAGCGUGGGGAGCGAACAGG